UACAGAGGGGGCAAGCGUUGUUCGGAAUUACUGGGCGUAAAGGGCUCGUAGGUGGCCAACUAAGUCAUACGUGAAAUCCCUCAGCUUAACUGGGGAACUGCGUCUGAUACUGGAUGGCUUGAGUUUGGGAGAGGGAUGCGGAAUUCCAGGUGUAGCGGUGAAAUGCGUAGAUAUCUGGAGGAACACCGGUGGCGAAGGCGGCAUCCUGGACCAAUACUGACACUGAGGAGCGAAAGCCAGGGGAGCAAACGGG
Molecule: ribosomal RNA, 253 nt
Filed under: uncultured bacterium
Lineage: Bacteria
Description: partial 16S ribosomal RNA
Rfam family: Bacterial small subunit ribosomal RNA
Source: RNAcentral